This 477-nucleotide ribosomal RNA is filed under the name uncultured bacterium. RNAcentral's name for it is "bacterial SSU rRNA". It matches the Rfam family "Bacterial small subunit ribosomal RNA", at positions 328 to 793 of the family's 1533-position model. The record is from RNAcentral.
UCAGUCGACUCCUACGGGGAGGCAGCAGUGGGGGAAUAUUGCACAAUGGGCGCAAGCCUGAUGCAGCCAUGCCGCGUGUAUGAAGAAGGCCUUCGGGUUGUAAAGUACUUUCAGCAGUGAGGAAGGUGGGGUAUGUUAAUAGCAUAUUCAUUUGACGUUAGCUGCAGAAGAAGCACCGGCUAACUCCGUGCCAGCAGCCGCGGUAAUACGGAGGGUGCGAGCGUUAAUCGGAAUUACUGGGCGUAAAGCGCAUGCAGGUGGUUUGUUAAGUCAGAUGUGAAAGCCCGGGGCUCAACCUCGGAAUUGCAUUUGAAACUGGCAAACUAGAGUACUGUAGAGGGGGGUAGGAAUUUCAGGUGUAGCGGUGAAAUGCGUAGAGAUCUGAAGGAAUACCGGUGGCGAAGGCGGCCCCCUGGACAGAUACUGACACUCAGAUGCGAAAGCGUGGGGAGCAAACAGGAUUAGAUACCCUGGUAG